GGACGAACGCUGGCGGCGUGCCUAACACAUGCAAGUCGAACGGGGUGUCGAGAGCUUGCUCUUGACACUUAGUGGCGAACGGGUGAGUAACGCGUGAGAAACCUGCCUCUCAGUGGGGGACAACAGUUGGAAACGACUGCUAAUACCGCAUAAUGUAUCCGGAAGGCAUCUUCUGGAUACCAAAGCUUUAUGUGCUGAGAGAUGGUCUCGCGUCUGAUUAGCUAGAUGGCGGGGUAACGGCCCACCAUGGCGACGAUCAGUAGCCGGUCUGAGAGGAUGAACGGCCACAUUGGGACUGAGAUACGGCCCAGACUCCUACGGGAGGCAGCAGUGGGGAAUAUUGGGCAAUGGGGGAAACCCUGACCCAGCAACGCCGCGUGAAGGAAGAAGGCUUUCGGGUUGUAAACUUCUUUUACCAGGGACGAAGAACGUGACGGUACCUGGAGAAAAAGCAACGGCUAACUACGUG
Molecule: ribosomal RNA, 469 nt
Filed under: uncultured bacterium
Lineage: Bacteria
Description: bacterial SSU rRNA
Rfam family: Bacterial small subunit ribosomal RNA
Source: RNAcentral